This is a long non-coding RNA of Asparagus officinalis (garden asparagus), 634 nucleotides long. RefSeq lists it as uncharacterized. NCBI's taxonomy places the organism in Eukaryota, Viridiplantae, Streptophyta, Magnoliopsida, Asparagales, Asparagaceae. The transcript has 2 exons. The record is from RefSeq and is a predicted model, not a curated record.
UGGGCUUAAAUGAAGGGAAAAGCUCAAAAAUGAAAACUGACAUGGGGUUGUGUCAGUUUGCAACAUUUCUUGCUGUUUGGUUCGUUCAAAGCUGAAAUGAAAGAGGGAAGGAAAAUCAUCGCCACGUGAGAUUUGGAGGAAAGUGUGUUUCCGUCCCCAAGUCAUCGAAAUCGCUGGAAAGUGAUUAAACAUGUCUGUUCUCUCUUUCCUUCUCCUUUCACCCCUAGGGUUUACGAUCACCACUCGGCGUUCUCCCUCUCCCUCCAAUUUCUCCCGCCUCCUUCCUUUGGUUCAUUGAGCAACACCGAUCUAUCUGUUCUUCAACUCAAGCGUUGUCUUUCCCCUAUUGAAGGUUUACAAGUGGGAUAAGGUGAAUGAUGGGUUAUUCUUAAGAUAUGCAGUCAAAGUUUAUAGCAGUAAUAUAUUGACGAAGCAAUCCAUGAUGACAAUGCUUAUUAUGUAAGGUCAUUAUGAUAAUUACAGCCAACAUUGCUAUUAUAAACUUUACGGCGAGGCAGAUAAUGAAGAAAAGGGCCUUUUCUGAGCAUAUUUUCUAUAAAUUGUAUUAAAUUUCAACCUUGGUUUCAAUUGUGUUGGAUAUUUAUUUUUAAUAGGUUGAAAUGGUUUGGUUUCA